CACGCAGGCGGUCUUGCCAGUCAGGGGUGAAAGCCCGAGGCUCAACCUCGGAACUGCCUCUGAUACUGUAAGACUUGAGACUAGGAGAGGGUGGUGGAAUUCCCAGUGUAGAGGUGAAAUUCGUAGAUAUUGGGAGGAACACCAGAGGCGAAGGCGGCCACCUGGACUAGAUCUGACGCUCAGGUGCGAAAGCGUGGGGAGCAAACGA
Molecule: ribosomal RNA, 208 nt
Filed under: uncultured bacterium
Lineage: Bacteria
Description: partial 16S ribosomal RNA
Rfam family: Bacterial small subunit ribosomal RNA
Source: RNAcentral